CUUCCUCCCACCCCAAGCCGCACCCCCAUCUACCUACUAACCUCAUCCCACCUCCUUGACCUGUCCGUCUUCCCUGGACUUACCUUUUCUCUCCUCUCCACCUUCGGUCCGCCUCCCCCUCUCUCCCUAUUUAUUCCAGUUCCCUCUCCCCGUCCCCCUCUCUGAUGAAAGGUCUAGGCCCGAAACGUCAGCUUUUGUGCUCCUGAGAUGCUGCUUGGCCUGCUGUGCUCAUCCAGCCUCACAUUUUAUUAUUUUAGGAGAGAGAGCUGUUUUGGUUUGUGAUACAAGAGACGAGGCUGUCUAUGCCUUUCACCCAUCGGUAGCUCUCCUCCUGUCCCUGCCUCUAUGCACACACUCUGCCAGGCAUAGUCUUCCUCCCUCUGUGUGUGUGUGUGUGUGUGUCUCUCUCUCGCUUCAGCUCCUAAAACCUAAGAUGCAUCGGAUAUAAAAACACGCACAUAAACACACACACACACACACAUCAACAAGCCAUGGAGAAAGAUCAGGAAUUACUGCAAGCUGUCAAAACCGAAGAUGUAGCUGCAAUGCAGAAGCUGUUGCAAAGGCCGAAACAAGGCAAAGCGAGACACAAUCAUCGCCUUGGAAGCUUCAUCACGAUACUACUUUGCAUUUCUGAAGAGGGAAGAAGAAAUCAACAUGAAAAUUCAAUUCCAUGGUUUUGGAAGUCCCAUUGAGAACACGAUUCAUUUGCGCCGGCAUAAUGCUCUGACCGAGAAAGAAUUGAAGUUUCCACUUGGAAGAAAGAUUCACAUCAAAUUGACUGGUCAAGGAAAUGGGACACUGACUAACCAUAUGAUUAGACUGUUUUGAUGAGAAAUUUAAAGAUUACGUGUCCCAUCCGUUUGACUCACAGUUUGGUACCAUAGGUUGGUACGAUCUUCGUUGGAGAAGGAAAAGGGAUGUUCCAGAUACAGAAAACCGUCAAACCAUUUACAACAAAGUCCGUUUCUGGACACAAUCAUUGCCUUGGAAGCUUCAUCACGAUACGACAUUGCAUUUCUGAAGAGGGAAGAAGAAAUCAACAUGCAAAUUCAAUUCCAUGGUUUUGGAAGUCCCAUUGAGAACACGAUUCAUUUGCGCCGGCAUAAUGCUCUGACCGAGAAAGAAUUGAGGUAAUUGCAUGACAGUUUGACUGGUUCGUUGAGAGUGAGGAACCUAUGGACUCUCAGACACCAAGAUGGAAUUUAGUUCAAAGAGUGACUUCAAAAUGUUCCGCAAGUUUUAGCGUAAACUGGUGGAGACUUUCGGUGCUUGCAAAAAGGCUCACCUCUCCGUUCAUACCGAAGGAAAAUGGGAGUUUAAAAAACCAUACGAUGAGACUGUUUUGAUGAGGAAUUUAAAGAUUACGAGUCGUGUCCGUUUGACUCACAGUUUGGUACCAUAGGUUGGUACGAUCUUCGUUGGAGAAGGAAAAGGGAUGUUCCAGAUCCAGAAAAUCGUCAAACCAUUUACUACAAAGUCCGUUUCUGGGUGGAGUUAGUGGAACCGAAAAAGAUGUCUCCCUCACAGCGUUUGUGACACAAGAAUUGCAUCGUUCCUUGGCGGCCUUUCAACAGAAGAAUAUUCAGAGAUUUCCCGAGUGACAACAUCAGGUGAAGAUGUGCGUGAUUUCAGCAAGGUGCUGAAAACAAGUUCAGAUCAACGAAACACUUUGCCAAACAUCCUCGCUUGAGUUAUUUACUAGUACAAACAGUUCUAGAAGGCGAGAAGCUUGAGAGGACACAAUCAUCGCCUUGGAAGCUUCAUCACGAUACUACUUUGAUUCUUCUUCCCUCUUCAGAAAUGCAAUGUGCAAAUUCAAUUCCAUGGUUUUGGAAGUCCCAUUGAGAACACGAUUCAUUUGUGCCGGCAUAAUGCUCUGACCGAGAAAGAAUUGAAGAGCCAGGACUGAGGGAAUCCUGCAUCGUUCCGGUGUCAUCAUUGAGGGAGUGCUGCACUGUUAAAGGGCCGAUAGUAAGGGAGUGUGACACUGUCAAAGGUGGGCUACAGUAUCAGAGGGUGAGUAAUGAGGGAAUGCUGCGCUGUCGGAGGGUCAGCACUGAGGUGGGCUGUACUGUCAGAUCGUCAAUGUAAAUAAUAAUGUCAGGGGAGUGCUGCAUUGUGAGUUGGUCCAUAUUAAGGGAACGCUGAAACUGUCAGUGAUGCUCAGGGUGUGCAACACUGUCAGAGGGAGUGAUGUACUCUGAGUGUCAGCACGGAGGCUGACCUUCACUGUAAUUGUGUCAGAAUUAAAAGACCGGUCAGAGGAUAUAAACUGAGGCAUUUCAGAGCCAUCAGAAGGUCGAAACUGAGGUGUUUCAGAUCAGUUUGAGGGUGCCUCAUUUUAAUGUGGUCAGACUUGAGCAAGUGCUUCAUUGUCAGAGGCUCAGAACCAAGUGAAUGCCUCGUUAUCAGACACUGUCCUAAAGAGGGCCUUGUGGUUGGUGGCUGUGUUGUAAGGCAAUUCCUCAUUGCUGCAGGAUCAGCCUUGAGAGUGUGCCAGUCUGGAAGGAGUGCCUAAAAACUGAGAGUGCGCUACACAAUUCGAGAUUCAGCGCUGAGUAAGUGCCUCAUUGUCACAGAGUUGGUUCUGAGGCAGGGUCACAUUGCCUUAGGGUCAAUUCUGAGGGUGUAUGAGGAGCAGACUGUAAAUACUGAGUCAGUAGCUCAGUGCAUUGGAUUCAGAGUUGAUGGAGUACAAGAUGAUUAGAAGUUCAGUCCUGAAGUAUUGCAGCUCUGUCAGAGGAUCAGAACUGAGGGGGCAGUGCUUUACUGUCAGCGGAUCAGUUCUGAGGCAGUACCUCAUUGCUGGAGGGUCAGAUGUGGACGAGUGUCACAUUGUCAGAAGGCCAGUUCUGAAUAAGUGACUUUUUGUCAGAAGGCCAAUACUCAGUCAGUGGCUCAUUUUGAGCAGAUCAGAAUUGAGGGUUUGCAACACUUGUCGAGAUUCAGUCUGGAGACAUUACUGCUACACGCCUGAAUUGAGGGAGUGCUGCAAGAUUGGAGGGUGAAAAUAAACCCGAAAACAGUGACCCCUUUC
Molecule: RNA transcript, 3040 nt
Organism: Stegostoma tigrinum
Lineage: Eukaryota; Metazoa; Chordata; Chondrichthyes; Orectolobiformes; Stegostomatidae
Gene name: utrophin-like
Exons: 12
Source: RefSeq, a predicted model, not a curated record